Long non-coding RNA from Drosophila simulans, 690 nucleotides. RefSeq lists it as uncharacterized. NCBI's taxonomy places the organism in Eukaryota, Metazoa, Arthropoda, Insecta, Diptera, Drosophilidae. The transcript is spliced from 2 exons. The record is from RefSeq and is a predicted model, not a curated record.
CGCGCAGAUCUUGGCCAGAUCCCGCCAGCAGCAGUGCAUCUCCAUCUCGGCGCGCGGCGGUGCAUGUCUGAUUUUCUAUAGAAUUGUUUGCCGCCGCACUGCAGCCCACGUACAUGUAUGUAUACAUAUAUCCACCAUGUGUUGACAAUGAAGACGGUCACUUUCCUGACUUUCUGGGCUUACUGGACAAACGCGACAAGCGCGAGGAUCGAAAGAUCGGAAGAUCGCAAGCGGGAACGGCCCGAGAACAAAUAGAGUUUCAGAUCCUCAGUCAAUUCCCAUAGUCUGGUCGAUGCAGGCGAUCGCUCCAUCUCCAGCUCCCGCCGCUGACGUAGUUAUUGCUGUCGAUGCAUCUUAAUCUGCCCAGGCUGGCAUUUAAUCUCGUCCAUUGUCUUUCGACCACAACCAAUGAUCACGGCCAGGAGCUGCAAGCUGGGAAUCGCGAACUGGGCAUCUGGUAAUCUCAGCGAGAAGCUGGAAGGCUGCGAGAUGGGGCAGCGUGAGCAGCGGUGGAAUGUGUAUAUAAUUUGGUUACAGUGCUACUCUGCGACUCCUCUCUAUUCAAUUAGCGCAUUUUUUAGCGCAUUAGAUAAGGCGAAUUAAAUUCUCAAACGAUGCGACAUGGUGGCAAAAAGUGAAUCAGGGAAACAAUAAAGCAAUCAGCAUCUCGAUUGAUUUCUAUUGGAUUAA